UACGUAGGAGACGAGCGUUGUCCGGAGUUACUGGGCGUAAAGGGUGCGCAGGUGGCGGCGCGCGUGGGGGGUGAAAUCGCCCGGCUUAACUGGGCGGGGGCCUUCCAGACGGCGUGGCUUGAGCAGCGGAGGGGGACGUGGAAUUCCGGGUGGAGCGGUGAAAUGCGUAGAGAUGUGGAGGAACACCGAUGGCGAAGGCAGCCCCCUGGGCUAACACUGACGCUCAUGCACGAAAGCGUGGGGAGCAAACAGG
This 253-nucleotide ribosomal RNA is filed under the name uncultured bacterium. RNAcentral's name for it is "partial 16S ribosomal RNA". It matches the Rfam family "Bacterial small subunit ribosomal RNA", at positions 524 to 776 of the family's 1533-position model. The record is from RNAcentral.